Molecule: ribosomal RNA, 515 nt
Filed under: uncultured Rhizobium sp.
Lineage: Bacteria; Pseudomonadati; Pseudomonadota; Alphaproteobacteria; Hyphomicrobiales; Rhizobiaceae
Description: bacterial SSU rRNA
Rfam family: Bacterial small subunit ribosomal RNA
Source: RNAcentral
UGAGGUAAUGGCUCACCAAGCCGACGAUCUAUAGCUGGUCUGAGAGGAUGAUCAGCCACAUUGGGACUGAGACACGGCCCAAACUCCUACGGGAGGCAGCAGUGGGGAAUAUUGGACAAUGGGCGCAAGCCUGAUCCAGCCAUGCCGCGUGAGUGAUGGAGGCCCUAGGGUUGUAAAGCUCUUUCACCGAUGAAGAUAAUGACUGUAGUCGGAGAAGAAGCCCCGGCUAACUUCGUGCCAGCAGCCGCGGUAAUACGAAGGGGGCUAGCGUUGUUCGGAAUUACUGGGCGUAAAGCGCACGUAGGCGGGUAUUUAAGUCAGGGGUGAAAUCCCGGAGCUCAACUCCGGAACUGCCUUUGAUACUGGGUACCUAGAGUAUGGAAGAGGUAAGUGGAAUUCCGAGUGUAGAGGUGAAAUUYGUAGAUAUUCGGAGGAACACCAGUGGCGAAGGCGGCUUACUGGUCCAUUACUGACGCUGAGGUGCGAAAGCGUGGGGAGCAAACAGGAUUAGAUAC